Molecule: ribosomal RNA, 137 nt
Filed under: uncultured eukaryote
Lineage: Eukaryota
Description: partial 18S ribosomal RNA
Rfam family: Eukaryotic small subunit ribosomal RNA
Source: RNAcentral
UGGUGGGGUGGCAUGUCUGCCUAAUUGCGAUAACGAACGAGACCUUAACCUGCUAAAUAGCCCGCAUUGCUCCGGCAGUGCGCUGGCUUCUUAGAGGGACUUUCGGCUCAAGCCGAAGGAAGUUUGAGGCAAUAACA